This is a non-coding RNA of Schistosoma mansoni, 45 nucleotides long. The record is from Rfam. Lineage: Eukaryota; Metazoa; Platyhelminthes; Trematoda; Strigeidida; Schistosomatidae.
AUCCAGCUGAUGAGUCCCAAAUAGGGCGAAACGUGGGUCCUGAAU